GCCGGGGUGGCGGAACGGCAGACGCGCUACGUUCAGGGCGUAGUGUCCGCAAGGGCGUGCGGGUUCAAAUCCCGCCCUCGGCACCA
RNAcentral lists this transfer RNA (86 nucleotides) under Chloroflexota bacterium. RNAcentral's name for it is "tRNA-Leu". It matches the Rfam family "tRNA". From Rfam's summary of the family: Transfer RNA (tRNA) molecules are approximately 80 nucleotides in length. Their secondary structure includes four short double-helical elements and three loops (D, anti-codon, and T loops). The record is from RNAcentral. Lineage: Bacteria; Bacillati; Chloroflexota.